AACACGUCGACUCGUGACGGUCGUCGCGACUUCACCGUUGAGCGUUUGAUUCCCGUAGAAACACUUCAGAAAAUAGAUUAAACACUAAAACCACACACGCUUGUGUAUUCGAAGAAUUCGGAAAUAAGUCACACAUUGAAUCCGAAGUAUAAAGAGAAGUGCAGCAAACAGAGAGACCUCUUUGGCAGGACAACUGGAUUCCAGUUCCCAAGAUGCCCUGGCUGCUGCUGCUGCUGCUGCUCACUGACAGAGUCUGGACAGCAGGGGAGGACAGAGUCUUCCUCCAGGGGACUGAGCUACUUCCAGCUGGGACACUGAGGUGUGGAGCCCGCCUCAGGGUAAGCCUCUUGUUUUGGAGGUCCAAUGCAGCAUUGACAGCAUGAAGAUGAGAAGAUGAACUGAAUCCGAGUCAGACACCCACACGAUGAGUCCAAGGGUCCAGAUGUCAGCGCAGGGUCGGAUCUCAGCACUCGUCUUCCGCUUCUCUGAUGGGGGGAAUCAAGCUGCUUGUGGAUGUAUACUGAAUGACUUGGUUGAUGGAGAGCGUAUUCACAGGCUUGAUCUGUAUGGUCCUCAGGUGGGUAUUCUGUGGCUCAUCUGUAAACCAUGUCUUUUCUGAGGAAAAAAACAAAACAUAUCAGGACGAUUAACGCUUCAUAGACGUCCACUAGUUUCAGUUUGUGUUCACACGCAACAUUAAAAUAACUUCUUGUUUUCAUUGAGUUUUUGAAAUUUGGCCUGAUAGUAAUAUGCUUUUAGAUGUAUUUUGAUGAUGUCCCAUUGUCCCAGUUCCAACUUUCAAUUUCACUCAUCUCAUAGCCAAAAACGCUUUGUAUCAUAAUGCCUUUAAAGCAUGCUUUUCUGUUGGGUCAGCAGACAUGCAGGUCACCAGUUAAAUACAAUACGUUUUCAAACUUCACCAUACCAAAAUAUGAGUUAAUACUCUUCAUUUACAUUUCAUAUUGUCAAGGGUUUUAUCUUUUUGACGGGCUUCAGGCUUUUGGCUUGAUGCAACUUCCUUUUCUUAUUGAAGGAAAUGAAUAUGGCAUAAUAUAUCGCUGGUGAUUCAUCCACUUGGCAAGUCCAUGGUCAUGCAUUUUCAUCAACAUGACUUAAG
Long non-coding RNA from Eleginops maclovinus (Patagonian blennie), 1117 nucleotides. RefSeq lists it as uncharacterized. The transcript is spliced from 4 exons. NCBI's taxonomy places the organism in Eukaryota, Metazoa, Chordata, Actinopteri, Perciformes, Eleginopidae. The record is from RefSeq and is a predicted model, not a curated record.